This 614-nucleotide long non-coding RNA is filed under the name Mytilus galloprovincialis (Mediterranean mussel). The record is from RNAcentral. Lineage: Eukaryota; Metazoa; Mollusca; Bivalvia; Mytilida; Mytilidae.
CUACAAUGUAAAUUUGGAUGCCAUCUACUAUGAGGGUCUGAAUUGGGGAAUCUUCAUUACUUUACUCUUUAUUUUUUUUAGAUCAUAUUCUCUCCCCUUGAUUCAAUUUAGAUCAUAGUUCUCUAAUCUGCAUAUUUCAAAACACUGUAUUUCUUAAUUUCUGUUUUUUUUCUUUCUAUUUUAUUAUUUUUAUCUCAUUUGCAUUGUUUAUCCUUUAUUCUCUAUUCUGUAAACAUGGUAAGCCCACCCAAACCUUUAACAUUUGAUCUUCUUAUCUUUUUUAUUUACAGCAAUAAAACGCCAAACAAAACACUAUCUGUCAUAUAUUGAAUCAGAUUUCACUUCACUUUAAAAUAAAGUGUUAAUUAGAAACAUCCGAAGGUGAUUAAAAGGUCAUUAAAGCACGUCAUAUCGCGAUCGAUUCCUUGUGUAAUAUCUGUGCACAAUUUCAUGCCUCGUAGUCAAGUAUUAUCUUUUUUUGCACUUUUAUAAAUAAAGGCAACAGUAGUAUACCGCUGUUCAAAACUCAUAAAUCCAUGGACAAAAACAAAAUCGGGAUAACAAACUAAAACCGAGGGAAACGCAUUAAAUAUAAGAGGAGAACAACGACAUAA